AACCUGCCAAAACAGACAACACUUCAGGUAAACAUUCGCCUUCAUCGCGUCGUCUUGUCAAAACCAAACUGAGACAAUUCAGACGAGCACCGAGCUCGUAACUGAUGAUUAAUCCUUUGACCUCAGAAUCUGGACGUUUCGUCCACUGCUCCUCAAACGGAUUCGCUUCACUGACAUCAGUUCUCAUUCCGAUCGACACCAUCAGCUUCCUGUCAGCUGAUCCAUCACUUGUUUGAUGGAGCAUUAAACUCAACUUUAGCCUUUCAUGGCAGCUCAGCAGAAUUCUGGACUUCGCCGGUUCAUGCAGCGUUCAGACGAGGCUGUUAGCAGCUCAGAGCAGCUGCUUGUUUUUCACUCGACUGGGUUGAAAUUUGUGUUUAACAUCGAACAAAUGAAGGAUAAAUGACAACAUCUCUUCACGGAAAAAGUUCUGGUGAGUGUGAACGGUAAUCGAUUUAUUAAAGUAAAUCAGUUUGACCCGAGUUUCCACUAGUUUUCACUUUAUGGGAACCUUACUGACCCCAAAGAGUGCAGGUCCUCUUUAACGUAUUCUGACAGACUUUGGCUGGCCGAAUUUGAAAAGGCCCAGCUUGUGUAGCUUUGGUUGGCCGCACACCAGAUGGUCCUGGUCUCCGUGUUGCUGGGGGACUAAAUAUUCUUCUUUCAUCCUGACGUUGACCACUUAUAUCGAGAAAGUCCCUGACCUGAACCAAGUGGUCCUGGGUGAGCCGGUAAAACUAACCCCACACAGUGACCGAAGGAGUAGAGCAGAUUUUCAGAACACGUUUCAGUCUUCAGUCAGCUGACGAAGACUCUGAUAGAACGACCGGUUUCCUCAGCCGACCACAACUCGCACGAGCAGCAGCUGCACCAGGGACACAGUGUGAACACCUGGUCAGGCCACAUUAUGGGAUGGACUGAGACAGGAAGCUGCAGCAGCUGAGAGAGGACAAACUACUGACCUGCUGCUGAGAAGAACAGCCAGACUCCUCUGAUGGUUUAGAGUCUGGAGGUCUCUGAUCCUCUGCAGGUCUGACAGUCUGGUCUCUGGACGCCUCUGGAGGGCUCUGAUCCUCUGCAGGUUUGACAGUCUGGUCUCCGGAUGCCUCUGGAGGUCUCUGAUCCUCUGCAGGUUUGACAGUCUGGUCCACGGACAUCCGUGGAGGUCUCUGAUCCUCCAGAGUUCUGACUGUUUGACCAGCCAAUAUGGAGCUGCAGUCAGACGCAGGAGACGAGCUGGAAGAGACGGUUUUGAUCCAAAAUGAUUUAACUGGACAUAAAAAUCUCAAAGUCUGAGUGAUGCGUUUGAGGGGGUCGGGUCUCUACCUGCUGCUCUGCUCA
This is a long non-coding RNA of Scatophagus argus, 1341 nucleotides long. RefSeq lists it as uncharacterized. NCBI's taxonomy places the organism in Eukaryota, Metazoa, Chordata, Actinopteri, Scatophagidae. The record is from RefSeq and is a predicted model, not a curated record. The transcript has 3 exons.